Molecule: unclassified non-coding RNA, 329 nt
Filed under: soil metagenome
Description: partial contains 5.8S ribosomal RNA, internal transcribed spacer 2, and large subunit ribosomal RNA
Rfam family: 5.8S ribosomal RNA (bases 1-120)
Source: RNAcentral
GAUGAAGAACGUAGCGAAAUGCGAUAAGUAGUGUGAAUUGCAGAAUUCAGUGAAUCAUCGAAUCUUUGAACGCACAUUGCGCCCCUUGGUAUCCCGAGGGGCAUGCCUGUUCGAGCGUCAUUUCACCACUCAAGCCUGGCUUGGUGUUGGGCGACUUCCCCUUUGGGGACGCGCCUCGAAACGCUCGGCGGCGUGGCACCGGCUUUAAGCGUAGCAGAAUCUUUCGCUUUGGAAGUCGGGGCCCCGUCUGCCGGAAGACCUACUCGCAAGGUUGACCUCGGAUCAGGCAGGGAUACCCGCUGAACUUAAGCAUAUCAAUAAGCGGAGGA